UGCAGUCGAACGAGGACCAGGGAGCUUGCUCCCUGUAACCGAGUGGCGAACGGGUGAGUAACACGUGAUCAACCUGUCCUAGGGCGGGGGACAACCUGGGGAAACCUGGGCUAAUACCGCAUUAUGUCUCAUUCUCGCAUGGGGAUGAGAUCAAAGAGGGCCUCUGCUUGCAAGCUCUCGCCCAAGGAGGGGAUCGCGACGUAUCAGCUUGUUGGUAGGGUAACGGCCUACCAAGGCUAUGACGCGUAGCGGGUCUGAGAGGAUGACCCGUCACAUUGGGACUGAGAUACGGCCCAGACUCCUACGGGAGGCAGCAGUAGGGAAUAUUGCGCAAUGGACGAAAGUCUGACGCAGCGACGCCGCGUGUGGGAGGAAGCCUUUCGGGGUGUAAACCACUGUCAGAGGGGAAGAAUCUCGUCGGUCUGAAUAUGGCCGACGGCUGACGGUACCCUCAGAGGAAGCGCCGGCUAACUCCGUGCCAGCAGCCGCGGUAAGACGGAGGGCGCAAGCGUUGUUCGGAAUUACUGGGCGUAAAGGGCGGGCAGGCGGUCCGUUAAGUCUUCUGUGAAAAUCCGGGGCUCAACCCCGUGAAAUGCAGGAGAAACUGGCGGACUAGAGACCGGUAGAGGCUAGCGGAAUUCCUGGUGUAGCGGUGGAAUGCGUAGAUAUCAGGAAGAACACCUGUGGCGAAGGCGGCUAGCU
RNAcentral lists this ribosomal RNA (702 nucleotides) under uncultured bacterium. Its description in RNAcentral is "bacterial SSU rRNA". It matches the Rfam family "Bacterial small subunit ribosomal RNA", at positions 56 to 730 of the family's 1533-position model. The record is from RNAcentral.